This 465-nucleotide ribosomal RNA is filed under the name uncultured bacterium. RNAcentral's name for it is "bacterial SSU rRNA". It matches the Rfam family "Bacterial small subunit ribosomal RNA", at positions 338 to 795 of the family's 1533-position model. The record is from RNAcentral.
CCUACGGGAUGCAGCAGUGGGGAAUAUUGCACAAUGGGCGCAAGCCUGAUGCAGCCAUGCCGCGUGUAUGAAGAAGGCCUUCGGGUUGUAAAGUACUUUCAGUGGGGAGGAAGGCGACAAGGUUAAUAACCUUGUCGAUUGACGUUACCCGCAGAAGAAGCACCGGCUAACUCCGUGCCAGCAGCCGCGGUAAUACGGAGGGUGCAAGCGUUAAUCGGAAUUACUGGGCGUAAAGCGCACGCAGGCGGUCUGUUAAGUCAGAUGUGAAAGCCCGGGGCUUAACCUCGGAAUUGCAUUUGAAACUGGCAGGCUAGAGUCUUGUAGAGGGGGGUAGAAUUUCAGGUGUAGCGGUGAAAUGCGUAGAGAUCUGAAGGAAUACCAGUGGCGAAGGCGGCCCCCUGGACAAAGACUGACGCUCAGAUGCGAAAGCGUGGGGAGCAAACAGGAUUAGAUACCCGCGUAGUC